UACAUUUGCAACCGCAUAUCAUAGUACAUAAUAAUCAUUAAAUAAUAUUGGAAUG
Capnocytophaga canimorsus Cc5 is the source of this 55-nucleotide regulatory RNA element. It matches the Rfam family "S15-Flavobacteria ribosomal protein leader". NCBI's taxonomy places the organism in Bacteria, Pseudomonadati, Bacteroidota, Flavobacteriia, Flavobacteriales, Flavobacteriaceae. The record is from Rfam.